UACGUAGGGGGCAAGUGUUAUCCGGAUUUACUGGGUGUAAAGGGAGCGUAGACGGCGAUGCAAGUCUGAAGUGAAAGGCGGGGGCCCAACCCCCGGACUGCUUUGGAAACUGUAUGGCUGGAGUGCAGGAGAGGUAAGUGGAAUUCCUAGUGUAGCGGUGAAAUGCGUAGAUAUUAGGAGGAACACCAGUGGCGAAGGCGGCUUACUGGACUGUAACUGACGUUGAGGCUCGAAAGCGUGGGGAGCAAACAGG
RNAcentral lists this ribosomal RNA (253 nucleotides) under uncultured bacterium. Its description in RNAcentral is "partial 16S ribosomal RNA". It matches the Rfam family "Bacterial small subunit ribosomal RNA", at positions 524 to 776 of the family's 1533-position model. The record is from RNAcentral.